UACCUAUGGGGGGGUGCAAGCUUU
RNAcentral lists this non-coding RNA (24 nucleotides) under Rattus norvegicus (Norway rat). Lineage: Eukaryota; Metazoa; Chordata; Mammalia; Rodentia; Muridae. The record is from RNAcentral.